AUUACAUUGCUAUAUAUAGCAGCACACAUUGUAAAGAGCUAGUGAUGAGCAGCAUGUUCCUUUUGUGAAUUAAAGUACAGUGCAGCCACAGGAAGAUCAAGUCCAUUGUCACUUGCAAACUGUCGAGUCUUGAAAUUGGAUCGCCCUUGUGGUGGUUUAUGGGGCACUUGCUCCGCCUCCUUCUGCCUAAACAGAGUGAACACGUAUCGAUGUAUCCCUGCCGGUGGCUUCGGU
This 234-nucleotide unclassified non-coding RNA is filed under the name Hevea brasiliensis (rubber tree). Lineage: Eukaryota; Viridiplantae; Streptophyta; Magnoliopsida; Malpighiales; Euphorbiaceae. The record is from RNAcentral.